Stomoxys calcitrans (stable fly) is the source of this 640-nucleotide long non-coding RNA. RefSeq lists it as uncharacterized. The record is from RefSeq and is a predicted model, not a curated record. Lineage: Eukaryota; Metazoa; Arthropoda; Insecta; Diptera; Muscidae. The transcript is spliced from 2 exons.
AUUUUAUCAACAAUUACGCUACAAAGUCAAAUGCUGAUACGAUUUAAUAACAUUUCUGUUCAAUAUCUAUAAUCUGGUCUGAAAUUAUCGACCGAUUGUGUUUACGCGAAAGUCUGAGCAGUUUGUAAAUUCGUAGAACGUGAAUAAAUGCUCAGUUGCAUUAAAAGCACAUAGGCCAUUACAAUAUAAACUUCCUCAAUUAACCUACAUUGGAAAGUGGACGCAAACAGUCGAAUGAAAACAAAUAAAGUCGCUCGAGCUACGCUAUUUGUCAUUGCAACAUCACCACCCAACCCAACAAUGUUGUGUAUUUUACCUUGUCCGUCCCCUGAACGCGCACAACACAAUUUAAUAUGAUCGACGGGCGAGCAAUACUAUUUUUGCGCUUCUAUUGGAUGCGAAUUGAACAUAGAACCGAACCAAAACCGGGCAGUAGACGCGCGCUGCGAUGUAUUCCCCAACGGUGCACUUGGUUGAAACUAACUAUCGGAUGGUGGCGGUGUACCUUUAAGCAAAUGAAAAACAAUUGUACCUACUACUGUCAAAUGCCGCUGCUGCUGCUUCUACUUUCCUUUACUUCGCCCUGUUGAUUUGCAAAUAAAAACCGACUGAGAAUGUCUGAGGAGAGUGAGGCGAAAAA